RNAcentral lists this long non-coding RNA (1142 nucleotides) under Dromaius novaehollandiae (emu). RNAcentral describes it as "lncRNA (ENSDNVG00000018540.1)". Lineage: Eukaryota; Metazoa; Chordata; Aves; Casuariiformes; Dromaiidae. The record is from RNAcentral.
CUCCUACCAGGGCCACCUAAAACCUCCUCGUACAGUCUGUUGGGCGUGUUGUAAUGCUCUUGUCUCUUUGCAAACUUACGGGAAUUGCUUAUUCAACUUUUCAGGGUGUUGACUUUUUCUUUUUUUUGGCAAAAACUGUAUAGUCUUGCUCACUAAGGUUGGUAAGCUGCUGUGUUGCGGCUUUGUGAUUUUGGAUCCCAAACGGUGUCUGCCUACAAAUCCCGGGACCAAAUGCACUAACCGAGCUGCGUGUCAGCAGAGCUCAGUCGUGUGCGUGUGUUUUUCGCCGCGGUGUGACACACGGUGGCUGUUGUGUCAGGCGGUCGCCUUGAACAAAAGCAGAACGGGUCGAGGUGGGGUGAAUCGAGCUGGAAAGUUCACCUGGUAAACACAGAUAUGGAGGGAGUUUUGGCGGGUAUGACAGCACUCACAGCAAACUUUGCAUCCCUUUCCGUGCAUCCGCAGACCACGUCCUCGGUCGGCGUCCUUGGGAAGCAAUACCCUUGAGGCUGCUAUGCAGGAAAGAGUUUUUAGGUGGGACUGCAGCCACCUGGUGUGUGGAAACUGGCCUGAUUUGCAAGCGCUGCAAUCUGCUGCUUCCGCCGGUCAGUUUGCUGCAGCGUCCUGCAGACUGGUCAGAUCUCCCCGCAGAGCCAACACGGAGAGUCACAAAGUCUGGUUCUGCCCGGAAAAUGUCCGGGCGGUUUUUGAAAUGCCGCUCCUGGUGACAGAACGUGAGGAAGAGAAGAACUCGUUAAGUUUGUGCAUAAACUUUCYUUUUUCAUCUCAAAUGUAGUGCCUGACUCUUUUCUUUCAUAUUUAAAACUCCAGUGCUGCAAAUGCUUAUCCAUUCCCACUGUCUUUGGGAUGAAGAACUGUAAUUAUCCAGAUUGUCCUUUUUUUCUUUUUUUUUUUUUUUUAAGUGCAGAUAGGCUGCUUCACAGGCUUUCUGUCAUGCAGUGCCGUAUGAAGAACGGAUGCCAGAGCUAUCAUAUCGGUAACUGCUGGAGCGUGUUGCUAGAGCAGCAUGGACUUCGGCAAGAAACAUGUUGAAGUGCACUCUUAUCUAGUAAGCCUUUUACUUUYUCAGUGAACAAAACUUUAGCAGCAGUGCUGUUACAGCAACGCUUUCUGCCUCUUCC